RNAcentral lists this long non-coding RNA (269 nucleotides) under Zonotrichia albicollis (white-throated sparrow). RNAcentral's name for it is "lncRNA (ENSZALG00000010142.1)". The record is from RNAcentral. Lineage: Eukaryota; Metazoa; Chordata; Aves; Passeriformes; Passerellidae.
CUUUGGCAACUAGAUGCAGUGCUAGGCUUCACUCUGCAAGGUGUUUAAAAAGAAAAACAGGUUUACUCAGGAUUUAUCAUGGAGUGGAAUAAGAGUGCCUCUCUCUCUAGAUGGGAACUUUGCUUCAUGGGACAUUACAACUGUAUGCCUUAAGGCAGAAAAGCGCAUAAAGGUACCUGGGAAAGUAAAUUGCCAGAAGCGAAGAGCACCCCCCUUUCAAAAUCCUGUAAGUACUCCUCUCUCUCACAUCAAACCGACCCUAUGCAGAG